CGAAAACAUAAACCGAAAACAUAGGACGAUUGAGGCGUGUUGGGUAAUUUUCUUUUAUUGGUGGCACCCUUAGGCGUAGCUUUUGGGUCAUUCAGUAGUAGCCGCGGCUCGCAUAGGUGAGAAUCAUAAUUCACCACUCUCUGUUCUGCAAUGGCCAAGAUCGAAGAACUGAACGAGUCCGUGGCUAAAUCAAGAACCAAGAGGAAUCACGUCUCAACCAGAUUCUUCGUCUUUGUUGAUUACCUUUUCAUUUUGAUCUUCCUUGGAUUCCUCUGCUUCAUCAUUUUCAAGAUUCUCGGCAUUUGAUUCGAUUCGAUUCCCAAUCCCCCGUGCUUUCUGAGCUAGGAUAUUCGUGUGACAUAGUUAUGAUUCCAUUACAGACCUAGGUACAAGCUUGAAGGCAGGGUCAACUAGCAAGUACAAUUUUUUUCUCAGAUCUUAUGUUGUAAAACUUGAAUUUUCUCAGAUCCAGUUUUCCUCUAAAAACUUUACACUGUUCAUUUUCCCUAGCUAUUGUCUUCCAUUUGUUUCUUGUUUAUUACAUUUAUCUUUUCAUAUAUGAUUUCCACUUUCACUUCCUUUUUCCUUGAAUGUGGUAAGAAGGAUGACAACUAAGAUCAAUAUCAAAGUACACUGCAUUAAAAGCUGAUAGUGAUGGCAGAGUAAUUUCCCUUUUCUUUGCCAACUAUUUAUUACAUUUUCUGAGGGGGACCUGGGGAUAUAGACUACGUGACUAUGUGUUAUUAUUAUCCACUUUCUGUUUGUGGUUGGUGGAUUUGGAUGAGGUAGAGCAGCAGAGUGAAGACCCCAAACUGCCAUUUUGCAUGCGACACACUUACCAGUGAUUUGGUGUGGACGCUUGCAAAUUGAUGAUACACCAACUUUGCAUUUAUGUGAGGCAUUUUUAUCCUUGUUGUUAUGUCCUAAUUAUAAAAUCGAGAUGUUUUAAAAACAUAAAACAUAUAUUUGCUGGGGGGGGGGGGGGGGGGAAAUGAUGAAUCUUGCCAUUUUCAAGCGAUUAACAGAAGAGGAUUUUUCUUUGGUCUGAGUUUCAUGCAUUGGGAGAUCAAACAUGACCUUGUUGCAUUUAGAAAAAUUUAACAUGAUAUAGGUGGUUAGAAAGAUUCAUGUUAGGCAUAUGGACUAGUUUUAUCUUGUCCGUACAGAGCUUAACACAAUUGAUUUCUUUGUUUGAGGUUUGGGAUUAGCUAUGAUUACAUUUAAAUGAGAUGAAGUUAAUGAAAAUGGACACAGGAUAUAAAACAAUCGAGAGUUAUGUGUAAUUUGUGAAGCAUCUACCAUGUUCAAAGAGAAGUUUUAUUGUAUUCUUUUUUGAAGUAAUGAAUGUUGGACUUUUAACGGAAAAGAGAAAAAGUUGAAACUGGCAAAAUAAAAUGCACAUGCUAAGAUGAAUGUGUGAUGAUACAAGAAAUUAUACGAUACAGCAUAAUUUGUAUUCAAUGAGAUAUUGAUGUUGAGAUGAUGAUAACAAAGAUUAGAAAAUAAGUAAAAGUAGUUUAGAUAUAUGCAAAGAAAGCUGCUAAAAGUAUUUUUUGAGAAGAGUAGAUUGUAUGAUUUUUAUCCCUGUAAAAGUAAGUGGGAUCAUGAAAAUAUCAGAG
This 1619-nucleotide small RNA is filed under the name Vigna angularis var. angularis. Its description in RNAcentral is "Non-protein coding transcript". Lineage: Eukaryota; Viridiplantae; Streptophyta; Magnoliopsida; Fabales; Fabaceae. The record is from RNAcentral.